UACGGAGGAUCCAAGCGUUAUCCGGAUUUAUUGGGUUUAAAGGGUGCGUAGGCGGAAUAAUAAGUCAGAGGUGAAAGCCUACAGCUUAACUGUAGAAUUGCCUUUGAUACUGUUGUUCUUGAGUACAUUUGAUGUGGGCGGAAUGUGUCAUGUAGCGGUGAAAUGCUUAGAUAUGACACAGAACACCGAUUGCGAAGGCAGCUCACAAAACUGUUACUGACGCUGAGGCACGAAAGCGUGGGGAUCAAACAGG
RNAcentral lists this ribosomal RNA (253 nucleotides) under uncultured bacterium. Its description in RNAcentral is "partial 16S ribosomal RNA". It matches the Rfam family "Bacterial small subunit ribosomal RNA", at positions 524 to 776 of the family's 1533-position model. The record is from RNAcentral.